Molecule: non-coding RNA, 4258 nt
Organism: Ictidomys tridecemlineatus (thirteen-lined ground squirrel)
Lineage: Eukaryota; Metazoa; Chordata; Mammalia; Rodentia; Sciuridae
Source: RefSeq, a predicted model, not a curated record
UUGAUUCUGAGCAUACAAAACUGAAUAAAAUUUGGCCCUUGAGGAGCAACCACCAGAACUUACUCUUGUCUUAACAUGGACUGAUUCUAUCUCACUUCAACCUUCACCCCUAAGCUGAUGACUAUUAAACAUCCAUCUACAUCUUGCUCUUAGGAAUUCUAGCCCCUUCUCAGAUUCCUACAGAACCAGCACUGGAAUUCACACAAAGGGGUUCCUGAGUGUACCCGACAGUACCAUUCUGCUCCACCCCACGUUCCUCAGAGCCUCGCAGGUGAGCAGAGUUCUGCAGUAAAGCUGAUUCUCCUACAUAUUCUACCAACCAUCACAAACUCAUUCUUCAAAAGAAGAUGGAGAGUUAUUGUCUAAAAACUGAGUAACGGAAAAUGAAACCCUUCAAGGAGUGAAGGAAGGUAAAGUGGACUAUGUGACUUAUUUCAAUAACAUCCAGGCUCCAUCACAAAAGCAAUGUCUGGAAAAUCCUAGGAGAAAGAGGUGCAUCCCAUUAGGAGUGUGCCUCCUCCGACGAUCACCUGAGUCAUUAUGUAGUGAAUAGCUGUUACCAAUGGGAGUAUGUGACAUAUUGCAAGUGUAUUGAGACAUUUUUAAAAAUUAAGAACUGCUGCAUUAAAAGACAUCUUGUCAGUGAAGUCUUCAAUUGACUCCCUGUCAAUAUUUUUCACUCUGGGAUGGCUUGGGUAAAACUUUGCCCAUGUUAGUCAUCUAAUGUCUAUUACUUUAUGAUGACAACCUAUGUGAACAAAAUGUGUUCACUUUAGAAUCUUCUCAAAUCAGUGUGGUACUGAGAAACUGUUAUGAAAUUGUAAUUGAUAGCACUGUUCAAAAGUAUACAAUAGGACGACUAACCAAACUCGAUCUUGCUCUGUUGAUUUAAUAUUUUCAUUUCCAUCACCAUACAUGAUGAGAAAGCAACACCAGCAAAGAUUAAGAAUCUAAAAAUCCUUCAUGCUGAUCACCCACAAUCUUCCAACUAUUUCUAAGCUUAACCAGAGAACAUUAUUUAUUACUUAUAAAUAAGAGAAUUUAAAAUAUUGUUGUCUCUGACAAUACUAAAAAAGCAUAUUUAAACUUUUUUUCACUAUAAAAUUGAAGCUGCAGUAAGAUGAAAUGGAAGCCCACAGACACUGCUGAUGUGAAUUCCACUAAUAAUAUCAGAUUCUUGCCAAAAAGCAAAAUUUGUUGUGUAGUUUGCAAUUAAUGUAACAAAAAUUUACCAGCCUGUAUAAUUUUAUCUGCCUUCCCUAGAGGAAGUAAACUGAUAAUAAAACUAAUGAAAUCAUAUUUCUUGACCACUUUCAUCCACUAUAAGUUGUUACUUGUCCUUAGAGGAUUAGACUAUUUACAAGGCCAUUGAAGUGUCUGGACUAGCUAAUGGUAAAGGCAGUAUUAUAAGAUAUGGGGGUAUUCCUGAGUCAGCAAAGAUGAUCCUGCAUUGUGAUGGAAGCCCCAUAAGUCAUUACCAAGGGCAGAUCAGGGGUUGAUGAGCCUCUGUUAGAAUUGUUUUGCAUCAGCAUUUCUGUACUCCCUGAAAACACCAUAAAAUACUGAACUUUAAUUAGUAAUUCAACAAAUGAGAAAAUGCUUGAUUUCAGUACUGUCAACCUAAAUAACAGAAAUGCUCCAAAGAUAAUGAAUUUAUUCAGGAAUGGGCACUACAAUGGGAAUACUCAUGUCAUUGAUUACUUGUGUAUUCAAGGAGGUUGAGGCAAAGGUACAUUUUUAAAGGCAAAAUGAGGAUUAUAUAAGUUGUUUUUGCAAUAAUAAUCCUUGAGUACAAGGAUCAAUAAUAUGAGUAGCCAUUAGUCCAAGGCUGAACGGGUAUUAGUCAGAGGUCCUUGCAGAAGUGUUUUCUGUGUAAGGCUAUAGUGUUUGUGCAAAGCUGUGGUUUUGGCAGAGUUUUUAGUGAUAGUUUUUGUUGUCAGGAUUCAUGCAUGAGAUCCCCUUCUUCAUCACCUCCCAGCUUUACUAAUCGUUGUUGUUGUUAUUUUUAUCUAAGGUUUGACCCACAAGACUCUGACAACUUUCAUAGUAUUCAGAGUAGAAAACUCUGGAAAAUGGGGGAUAUGAUGUUAGGCAGUGAGUUGCUAAAACUUCUGGACAGGUGAUGCCAGCUUGCUUCAAGCUUGUCUCCUGGCCUUCCUGCACAAGAACCACCUGGGGGACUUGUGGUGCCCUAUAGAUUUCCUCUACAAAACCUACAUUUACUUAGUAAAGCAGAAUCCUGUUGUUCACAUCAGGAAUCUGUAUUUGUCACAAGCUUCCCUGGGGUUUCAGACUCAUGGAAGCUUGAGGAUAUGACAUUUGACCAUCUUGUUGGCAAGGUCUACAUAUGAAUAAUAUAUUUGGCAGCAUAUUUGAAAUGUUGUAAAAAAAUAUCAAAUGUAUGAUAUCUCUAAACAUAGCACUUCUGUUGCUUUCAAAGUUAACAGAUGAAUACAACCAAUUGGAAUUAGCUCACCCAGUUCCAUAGUUUAAUACUUCUUACCUGUACUGCAUAAUACUUUGCAGCUCAAAAUGGCAACAAGAGGGCAGAACAUAACAGAACACCUGACAUCCCACUAUAGGCUGUGGAGUUAAAAAAAAAAACCCUAUAUUCUCCAAAUCAAAAUGACAUGGGAACUUAUGUAGGCCAUGACUUGCUGCCCGCUUCCGGUCUUGGGGCCAAACACGUGCCCGGGAUGGCUCCUGGCAAUCAGCCAGGAGGGGUGCUGUGGCUGGUGACGGAAAAGGCGGACCACCUCCAGGAUAGGUCCAGGACUCUUCUGCCCUCCUGGACAGCUUCUGCCUUCCCUUAGGGACUAUGGGAUGGGUGUACACAACUCACUCCACCCCUCUGACCUUUAUCCUGAUUGGCUCCUGUGCAGUAUAUAAGAGUGUGUACUUCCUCAAUAAACGAGAUCCGGCUUCCACUAGUCUCCCUGGCACAUCUGAUUGUCCUCCAUCUAGGGAGGGCUGGGUGCGGACCACCAGGGUUGGGUGCUGGCCACCAGUCGACCUUUCGGGGCGUGCGUGCUUUCCCUUGCUUCUCCCGCUGGUCAGGAGGAGAUGGGGGCUAAAACCCCCCACAAACUUGCACCUUGAAAACAGAAUGGACUUGUGGGAAAAGGACUUUACAGUUUAUUCCCUUCUCAUUCUGGAAUGUUUACCCUGCCCCCAGGGGGUCCCAAAGAUCCAACUUCCUGUUUCUCAGGUCCUCCUAAAGAUCUUUCCUGCUCAUUCUUUCGCAGUUGACAAGCUACUACUAGGCUCUUGGAAGAAGCUUUGCUACAUGAAUUUCAUCAAAUGAAGCCAUUUAUAAAGGUUCCAUUUUUAAAAAACUACAAGGCCAGUAUGCUUAAUUCAGUCAUUUAAGUUGAAUUGAAAACUUUGUUUUAAACACACUUAAAACUUAAUGAGAUAUCAACUUGCUUGACUGAGUUCAUGUUUCCCUUUUAAAAAUCAUACAUUACAGAAUCAGUGCACAUUUGGAGUAAUGUCUCCAUUUAAGUGCCUUUUUGAUAUAAACCUACUAAAAAUGCCAAGACACCAAUCAUUAUAACUGUUUUUGGACAUCAUAAGCCAGCACCAUGCCACUGGCUUAUGGUAGUUGGGGUGUUACAGCUUAAUGUUGACAUCUGGCACAAAAAGCUUACAGUCUGAAUCAUGUUUCUUUUUUAUGUAAUUCUGGCUCAGGAAUCCGAUACAGAGCAGCAGAGAAAUAAAUUAUGUUGCUGAGGCUGAAGAUGAGGCACAGCAUUACGGCUACAGCUAUCUGAGAAAAAGAGAAGGGCCUGAAGGCGGUCAUGAGCCACUCCUUCCUUAGAGUCUUGUCCAGAAGUAUGGCUUCCAUCUGCAGGUGUGUGGCCAGAAUCACGCACACGUGAAACAGCUGGUGGCUGUGACCUACAGCAAACACACAAAAGGCCAUUGAGAUCACUGAUCAAAAGGAAGGAGUAUUGACACAAACUAUGACAUGUUUGCUAAAAAGAUGCUAAGUGAAAGAAGCCAGCAAGGGCACAUUAUAGGAUCCCAUUUGCAUGAAAUAUUCAGAGUAGGCAAAUUCACAGAGACAGGGGAGAUUCAUGGUUGCCUUGAGCAAAGGGUGGGAAUUGGUAUUCACAGUGCAUGUUCUAAAAUGGAUUUAUGGUGAUGUUCAGGCAACUUGGAAAAUUUACACAAUAUAACAUUGAAUUGUACAGUUGACUUUGGGAGACUCUUUAAUAUAUAAAGUACACCUUAAUAAAAGUAUUUUAAAGAACAA